GCGGCUUCAGCAGCAGCUCAGGCGGCGACUCCAGCGGCGCGGCGGCUUCAACGGCGGCUCCAGCAGGCGACGGCCACGGUCGGGGUUUGGGAUUCAGGUGAGACCAAGUCUGGCAUUCAUCCCACUGAACACGUCGAGUCUGUAGUCUGUACUCUGUACUAAUUGAGUCCUGCAUAUUCAGUUUAGAUGUAAAAAGACUAGUAGCUAGCUGCGUCAUUUGACACAGCCAAGUCUGUACUAAAUACUAAUUGAACCCUGCUUAUUCAGUUAUUGAACACGUCGUACCUGUAUCUGUGCCUGUCCGAACUCUGAACUUUGAUGGGCAGUAGCGUUUUUUCUUCUGUCAAAGUGUCAAUUCUUCAUGGACAGAAAGGCACUGACUAAUAAGAUGCCCAACCGGCUCAGUUUUGUCUAGAUUGCUAGAAGAUGGAAGGAAAGGGAAAGGGACUAGUAAAUCCAAAGAAAAGAGGAAGAGGUAAUUUCUCAUUUUUCUGAAAUUUUGUAGCAAUUUUGAACAGCCUUAAAUUCAACCAUAUUUUAGUGAUAUAUUAAUUUUCUCAUUGCAGAUUUGAAAAGGUUUUAGGUUGUUUUCCUAUUGAGGCAUGUCUAUAUUUCCAUUGUAUUUGGUUAUUCGUUCGUAGUGUGUAUUAACUCUUUGAUUCGCAUUAAAAAAAUCUUAGUGAGACUUCGCCACACCUUAAUUUUUUUCCGUGGUCCGCCUCUGGCUAAAUGUGUGAGCAAGAACCCAUGACAAUAUGAUGUGCAUUGAUUUUCAAGGGUAUAUAUAUAUCUGCAUAAAUAAGAGGUGGCUGAAGCG
This 817-nucleotide long non-coding RNA is filed under the name Triticum aestivum (bread wheat). Its description in RNAcentral is "long non-coding RNA (TAES_LNC015183)". The record is from RNAcentral. Lineage: Eukaryota; Viridiplantae; Streptophyta; Magnoliopsida; Poales; Poaceae.